RNAcentral lists this ribosomal RNA (485 nucleotides) under uncultured bacterium. Its description in RNAcentral is "partial 16S ribosomal RNA". It matches the Rfam family "Bacterial small subunit ribosomal RNA", at positions 30 to 507 of the family's 1533-position model. The record is from RNAcentral.
AUUGAACGCUGGCGGCGGGCUUAACACAUGCAAGUCGAGCGGGGAAAGGUAGCUUGCUACCUGACCUAGCGGCGGACGGGUGAGUAAUGCUUAGGAAUCUGCCUAUUAGUGGGGGACAACAUCUCGAAAGGGAUGCUAAUACCGCAUACGUCCUACGGGAGAAAGCAGGGGACCUUCGGGCCUUGCGCUAAUAGAUGAGCCUAAGUCGGAUUAGCUAGUUGGUGGGGUAAAGGCCUACCAAGGCGACGAUCUGUAGCGGGUCUGAGAGGAUGAUCCGCCACACUGGGACUGAGACACGGCCCAGACUCCUACGGGAGGCAGCAGUGGGGAAUAUUGGACAAUGGGGGGAACCCUGAUCCAGCCAUGCCGCGUGUGUGAAGAAGGCCUUUUGGUUGUAAAGCACUUUAAGCGAGGAGGAGGCUACCGAGAUUAAUACUCUUGGAUAGUGGACGUUACUCGCAGAAUAAGCACCGGCUAACUCUGUG